RNAcentral lists this ribosomal RNA (465 nucleotides) under Vreelandella stevensii. Its description in RNAcentral is "partial 16S ribosomal RNA". It matches the Rfam family "Bacterial small subunit ribosomal RNA", at positions 338 to 795 of the family's 1533-position model. The record is from RNAcentral. Lineage: Bacteria; Pseudomonadati; Pseudomonadota; Gammaproteobacteria; Oceanospirillales; Halomonadaceae.
CCUACGGGAGGCAGCAGUGGGGAAUAUUGGACAAUGGGCGAAAGCCUGAUCCAGCCAUGCCGCGUGUGUGAAGAAGGCCUUCGGGUUGUAGAGCACUUUCAGUGGGGAAGAAAGCCUUGGGGCUAAUACCCUCGAGGAAGGACAUCACCCACAGAAGAAGCACCGGCUAACUCCGUGCCAGCAGCCGCGGUAAUACGGAGGGUGCGAGCGUUAAUCGGAAUUACUGGGCGUAAAGCGCGCGUAGGCGGUCUGAUAAGCCGGUUGUGAAAGCCCCGGGCUCAACCUGGGAACGGCAUCCGGAACUGUCAGGCUAGAGUGCAGGAGAGGAAGGUAGAAUUCCCGGUGUAGCGGUGAAAUGCGUAGAGAUCGGGAGGAAUACCAGUGGCGAAGGCGGCCUUCUGGACUGACACUGACGCUGAGGUGCGAAAGCGUGGGUAGCAAACAGGAUUAGAUACCCCAGUAGUC